UCCCCCCCCCACUCCCGUGUGGAAGCAGCACCGACGGCCCUCGUCCUCCGUGAGCGUCCUUAAGUGCCCACUGGGGAAACUGAGGCACGGAAAAAAAAUCCUGGCCGAGGCGACCGGCUCUUUUCCCGUAUCAGAGAGCUCUUCCCAGGAUGACUGCUUGGCCUCCUUUACGUGUCUCCACGCCUGGAAGCAUUUCCAAGAGCUCCACGAGAUGCUGGAGGACACCCAGCGGACAUGCGGACACCGAUGGGGAGAAGCUGUUCCCCCAAAGGUCAUUGCCAUCAACACGAGGAGAAAUGUCCCAGAAGGAGCUGCAGACACAGCUGACAACACAUUUUGGUGAAAAACUUCAUUUGACAACGGUGACUGCAGCAACAUUCCUAAAAGAUGAAGCACGCACGGUUUCGUUGGCCAACACUACUCACGGGCUCACGUGGAAUUGGCUGAACUGACUUCCUGUAUCUCCCAGCAAACCUCACCCAACCCAGUUUGGUGGGAUCCCACCCAACCCCAUCCAGUGACUUUGCUGAGUGGGAGAGGUGACGUGGUCAGUCUGAAGGUCUGGAGAUAGCACUAUAUUGGGGGGAAAAAAGCUCAUUUAGAGCAUGGAUUAUCUGCAGGUUUGAAGAUCAAGGUCUCUGUGUUGGAUGCAUCAAGCGAGCCAAGAUAAGCCAAGCUGUUCUCACCGCUUUGCAUUGGAAGAGCUAUCUCUACUAACAACUGGGCUUGGCAGUCUUAACAUUGAGGGGAAAGAAACAUUUGGAUUCUCCCACUGGGCCUUCCUGCAGCCCUUUUUGGUGGUUAAAAGGCAGGGAGCAAAAGGUAGGGAGCGCUUAAUGGUCUCUUUUAGGGAUGGAAAGAGUGUGGCUCUCCAGAGCCUGGCACUGGAACAGCAUCAGCAGCGUCCCGGUGGGCGAGGAGUCCAUCCAGUUGCAUAGCUCUCACAGAGUCACCAAAUGCCACCAAGUAAUUCCACCAAGACCUCAGCAAAUUGUGUUCAAGGUAGCAGCCAAAAAAACCAAGCCAGGGUGUCUUCCCUUGGUGCUUUUCUCAAGCAUGUCCAAUGCAGUGUGUAAUUGUGGUCCCCAAGAGAAGCAUGAUGGUUUUGGAGAAGCAGAGAGAACAACAAAACUCAUACUAUCGUGGAAUCAUCUAGGUUGGAAAAGACCUCCAAGAUCACCAAGUCCAACCAUCAGCCUGACCUACUGAGUUCCACCACUGAGCCGCGUCCCCGUGCCAAAUGACCUCCCAGGGGGAGUUGGGAAGGCCAGGAUCGUUCAGCCUGGAGAGGGGAAGGCUGAGGAGAGCUGGUGAACAAGGUGCCCCUAAUCACAGGGACCGUGCAUAGAGUGGAUACAAGCCUAUUACUAAAAUGAGUAGCAAAUCAAUUUCAAAUGAAUAAAAAGACGCAGGGAAGGCAGAUUUGCAUGGAGCAGUUAACUGGACCAGGCUCUCCCAGGCCAUAGAACCACAUGGGCUGAAAAAGACCUUCCAGAUGAUGCCUAACCAUCCACACAAAUCCAGCUAGAUGCACUUGGAUUGCUCCUUAUCUCAGCUUGACCUCAUCAGGGCCUGGCAACAAGCUUCAAUCCUUACCCACUCACGCAUGUGAAGGCUGAAUUUCUGCACCUAUGGGUGUCUCCUUCAGUGUCACCCAGAAACCUGGCAAGAAGUCACACUCACAGCAUGGCAUCGCAUCCACUUGGUGAUGAGCCAGGUGUGAAAGUUGCUUGGUCUUCCCAGCAUGGGGUUUGCCUUUCAGAGGCACCUUUGCGUACCAAAAGAGAACGUGGUAAGAGGCAGCAUUUCGUUAGUCAGGAAGUUAUGAAUCGAUAGCUUGAUUGAAAUAAUUAUCAAGAUUAAGAACUACAGGAAAUACCCAGAGCUGCAUUUACAGUCGAGAGCAUCUCCAGGGAACAGGGAAAGCUUCACCAAGGCAGAAGCUUUGAUGCAGGAAGCAAAGGCUGUAGGAUGCUGUAUGUCAGCACCAAGUCCCACAGUUCAGACCUCCAUCUGCCCUCUGUGCUGGCUGCCUCUGGGAGCUCAGCAGAGACCAAAAUAAUGGUGAAUAUGGACUGCUUUUCCUGGGUCAGUCCCCAAGCACGCUCAAACAUUUAUUUUCUUAGAACAAGCCAGAUUCUUACAUUUCCCUUAGAAGGAGCCCUGUAGCAGGGAGCUGGAACUGGAUGGGCUUUAAGGUCCCUUCCAACCCAAACUAUUCCAUGAUUCUAAGAUUCCAAUUCUGAUGCUAUCAUUUUGAGAGUAGUUUUUAAGACUGCAAAGGGAAUGCUGACACUUGGUGGAGUGGAAAAGCAGGUAGGUGUGAAGUACAUUAAUUUUAGAGUGCUUUCGCUCCUCUCUGGCUUUUAGGUCCUUGGAAUUCAUGGGGAAAUCUUCCAUCCCGUUAGGGCUAUACAUCAGUAAUGGAAAAAACGAGAUUAGCAGCAUGAAAACUUUUUGUUCAGUAAACACUCAGAUAUAGAGAAUACUCAAAUGCCAGCAAAAGCAGUGAAACUUUCCUUCCUUGCUGAAAGCGAUGGCUGUGGGGGAGGUAGCCCUGCAAUAAAUAAGUAAAUAAAAUAAAACACUUCUGGAGUGAGGAAUAGAAAUCUGAUUUAUAUUAACGUUAAAUAAAAGUACUGAGAACUGCUGAGCAGGAGGAGGAGUUGAGUUUCAAUGGGUGAUGCCAACGUAGGGGAUUGGAACUACGUGAUCUCUGAGGUCCCUUCCACCUCAAGCCAUUCUGUGACUCUACGAUUCUAUGAUGGUGAUAGAGGACAGAAUGGGAUGAAAACCCCAGAACGGCUUACCAAAAACCAUGUCCAGAUUUGUCAUUGGUGAGCAUUUUAAUCCAGACCAUUUAAAUCCAGACUUGGGGAAUGACAAGAGACAGCAACACGGAGCUGGAGGCAAGCAGGGCUGCAGGAGGGGACAACGCCUGGAGGAGUUAUUUAUGCUUCACCAUGGAACCAAGGAGAUUCACAGCCUGGGAGUCCCUGGAGAGCUGUCCCAGGCCUGGUACUGCUCAAAAUAUUUUGUUAAUAAUUACUUGCAUGAAUAGAAAAUCUGCUUAUUGCAGCUGCAAAUGACACCAAGCUGGGAGGGACUUUGAGCACUUUGGAGCAUGGGCUGAAACUUCAAAACAAACUUGAUGCAUUAGAGAAAUGGCUUGGAAAAAAAAUAAACAAAUAGGCUGCGAUUCAUUGGAAACAAAGGAAAAACUUUCUGCUUGUGUAAGAAGGCUGGAGCUGCAGAGCACAAAUGCAAACAGCCCUCAUCAUGCUGCUGCAAAAAGGGCAAACUGCAGGCAGGGAUGAAGCAGGGGGAAUGGGGUGUGCAGGGACAUGGAGCAAUGUCUGGGUCUGCUUGGGA
This is a long non-coding RNA of Tympanuchus pallidicinctus (lesser prairie-chicken), 3372 nucleotides long. RefSeq lists it as uncharacterized. Lineage: Eukaryota; Metazoa; Chordata; Aves; Galliformes; Phasianidae. The transcript is spliced from 4 exons. The record is from RefSeq and is a predicted model, not a curated record.